Molecule: ribosomal RNA, 301 nt
Filed under: uncultured bacterium
Lineage: Bacteria
Description: partial 16S ribosomal RNA
Rfam family: Bacterial small subunit ribosomal RNA
Source: RNAcentral
CAGCAGCCACGGUAAUACGUAGGGUGCGAGCGUUAAUCGGAAUUACUGGGCGUAAAGCGUGCGCAGGCGGUUUGUUAAGACAGAUGUGAAAUCCCCGGGCUUAACCUGGGAACUGCAUUUGUGACUGGCCGGCUAGAGUAUGGCAGAGGGAGGUGGAAUUCCACGUGUAGCAGAGAAAUGCGUAGAUAUGUGGAGGAACACCGAUGGCGAAGGCAGCCUCCUGGGCCAAUACUGACGCUCAUGCACGAAAGCGUGGGGAGCAAACAGGAUUAGAUACCCCCGUAGUCCCUGUCUCUUAUAC